Molecule: transfer RNA, 70 nt
Filed under: Paramesotriton caudopunctatus (Guizhou warty newt)
Lineage: Eukaryota; Metazoa; Chordata; Amphibia; Caudata; Salamandridae
Description: tRNA-Ala
Rfam family: tRNA
About the family: Transfer RNA (tRNA) molecules are approximately 80 nucleotides in length. Their secondary structure includes four short double-helical elements and three loops (D, anti-codon, and T loops). Further hydrogen bonds mediate the characteristic L-shaped molecular structure. tRNAs have two regions of fundamental functional importance: the anti-codon, which is responsible for specific mRNA codon recognition, and the 3' end, to which the tRNAs corresponding amino acid is attached (by aminoacyl-tRNA synthetases). tRNAs cope with the degeneracy of the genetic code in two manners: having more than one tRNA (with a specific anti-codon) for a particular amino acid; and 'wobble' base-pairing, i.e. permitting non-standard base-pairing at the 3rd anti-codon position.
Source: RNAcentral
GAGGGCCUUAGCUUAAUUAAAGUGUCUGGGUUGCAUUCAGAAGAUGUGGGGUAGUGUCCUGCAGGUUUUA